Molecule: ribosomal RNA, 485 nt
Filed under: uncultured bacterium
Lineage: Bacteria
Description: partial 16S ribosomal RNA
Rfam family: Bacterial small subunit ribosomal RNA
Source: RNAcentral
AUUGAACGCUGGCGGCAUGCCUUACACAUGCAAGUCGAACGGCAGCACGGGUGCUUGCACCUGGUGGCGAGUGGCGAACGGGUGAGUAAUACAUCGGAACAUGUCCUGUAGUGGGGAUAGCCCGGCGAAAGCCGGAUUAAUACCGCAUACGAUCUACGGAUGAAAGCGGGGGACCUUCGGGCCUCGCGCUAUAGGGUUGGCCGAUGGCUGAUUAGCUAGUUGGUGGGGUAAAGGCCUACCAAGGCGACGAUCAGUAGCUGGUCUGAGAGGACGACCAGCCACACUGGGACUGAGACACGGCCCAGACUCCUACGGGAGGCAGCAGUGGGGAAUUUUGGACAAAGGGCGAAAGCCUGAUCCAGCAAUGCCGCGUGUGUGAAGAAGGCCUUCGGGUUGUAAAGCACUUUUGUCCGGAAAGAAAUCCUUGGCCCUAAUACGGUCGGGGGAUGACGGUACCGGAAGAAUAAGCACCGGCUAACUACGUG